AACAUAAGAGUCUACCUAUUCAAUAAAAAGAAAGAAGUGACUUGAAAGAAAACGAAGAGAAAAAUGAAGAGAGUUUUGACUUAGUUUUUGUGAAUGAUUGGUGGUGUCAUUUGUGAAUGGAAUGAAGUUUAUUUAUAGGCUCUAGAAAUGAUAGUUUAGGAAUUAUGCAAAGAUUGUGAGUGCCUUCUAGAAACUUAAUUAAUU
Molecule: long non-coding RNA, 204 nt
Filed under: Lathyrus oleraceus (garden pea)
Lineage: Eukaryota; Viridiplantae; Streptophyta; Magnoliopsida; Fabales; Fabaceae
Description: Pisum sativum (pea) long non-coding RNA (PSAT_LNC013036)
Source: RNAcentral